UGGGGAGUCUUCGGCAAUGGGCGAAAGCCUGACCGAGCCAUGCCGCGUGAGUGACGACGGCCUUAGGGUUGUAAAGCUCUUUCGACGGGGACGAUAAUGACGGUACCCGUAGAAGAAGCCCCGGCUAACUUCGUGCCAGCAGCCGCGGUAAUACGAAGGGGGCUAGCGUUGUUCGGAAUUACUGGGCGUAAAGCGCACGUAGGCGGACCGUUAAGUCGGGGGUGAAAUCCCGGGGCUCAACCCCGGAACGGCCUCCGAUACUGGCGGUCUUGAGUCCGAGAGAGGAUGGUGGAACACCCAGUGUAGAGGUGAAAUUCGUAGAUAUUGGGUUGAACACCGGUGGCGAAGGCGACCAUCUGGCUCGGUACUGACGCUGAGGUGCGAAAGUGUGGGGAGCAAACAGGAUUAGAUACCCGCGUAGUCC
This 424-nucleotide ribosomal RNA is filed under the name uncultured prokaryote. RNAcentral describes it as "bacterial SSU rRNA". It matches the Rfam family "Bacterial small subunit ribosomal RNA", at positions 355 to 796 of the family's 1533-position model. The record is from RNAcentral.